UGAGGUGACGGGCCUUUCCCCCGGAUCAACCCUGGUCAGAGAUGAGGUGACGAUCCUUUACCCCCGGAUCAACCCUGGUCAGAGAUGAGGUGACGAUCCUUUACCCCCGGAUCAACCCUGGUCAGAGAUGAGGUGACGAUCCUUUACCCCCGGAUCAACCCUGGUCAGAGAUGAGGUGACGAUCCUUUA
Oncorhynchus keta (chum salmon) is the source of this 189-nucleotide long non-coding RNA. RefSeq lists it as uncharacterized. The record is from RefSeq and is a predicted model, not a curated record. NCBI's taxonomy places the organism in Eukaryota, Metazoa, Chordata, Actinopteri, Salmoniformes, Salmonidae. The transcript is spliced from 3 exons.